GGACGAACGCUGGCGGCGUGCUUACCACAUGCAAGUCGAACGGGUCUGCCCUGUUUUUUGCGGGGUGGGUCAGUGGCGAACGGGUGAGUAACACGUGAGUAACCUGCCCCUCACUUCUGGAUAACCGCUUGAAAGGGUGGCUAAUACGGGGUGUUCUGGCUGUGCCGCAUGGUGUGGCUGGGAAAGAUUCACUUUUGUGGUGUUUUGGUGGGGGAUGGGCUCGCGGCCUAUCAGCUUGUUGGUGGGGUGAUGGCCUGCCAAGGCUUUGACGGGUAGCCGGCCUGAGAGGGUGGGCGGUCACACUGGGGCUGAGAUACGGCCCAGACUCCUGCGGGAGGCAGCAGUGGGGGGUAUUGCACAAUGGGCGGAAGCCUGAUGCAGCGACGUCGCGUGAGGGAUGGAGGCCUUCGGGUUGUGAACCUCUUUCGCCGGUGAAGAAGGUCCUGCUCUUUGUGGUGGGGUUGACGGUAGCCGGGUUAUGAAGCGCCGGCUAACUACGUG
RNAcentral lists this ribosomal RNA (501 nucleotides) under uncultured bacterium. RNAcentral describes it as "partial 16S ribosomal RNA". It matches the Rfam family "Bacterial small subunit ribosomal RNA", at positions 27 to 507 of the family's 1533-position model. The record is from RNAcentral.